UACGAAGGGGGCUAGCGUUGCUCGGAAUCACUGGGCGUAAAGCGCACGUAGGCGGCUUCUUAAGUCAGGGGUGAAAUCCUGGAGCUCAACUCCAGAACUGCCUUUGAUACUGAGGAGCUCGAGUCCGGGAGAGGUGAGUGGAACUCCGAGUGUAGAGGUGAAAUUCGUAGAUAUUCGGAAGAACACCAGUGGCGAAGGCGGCUCACUGGCCCGGUACUGACGCUGAGGUGCGAAAGCGUGGGGAGCGAACAGG
This 253-nucleotide ribosomal RNA is filed under the name uncultured bacterium. RNAcentral's name for it is "partial 16S ribosomal RNA". It matches the Rfam family "Bacterial small subunit ribosomal RNA", at positions 524 to 776 of the family's 1533-position model. The record is from RNAcentral.